GGAGACUGUCGGCAAUUCUGUAACGCAUUUUGCCAGUGUUUGGAGAUAUUUAAAACAUACGACAUGGAACCAACUCAUAGUUUGAAGAGAAGUCCUCAAGGAGAAGAGGAGAGAGAAAGUCCUUGGUUUUCUAUAUUGAAGUGUGCCAAGUGUCACGAUUGGUACCCGACCUUGUGCCACAGGCCCACGAUCGGUGACUGGCACUGCCCGUCCUGCCAGCGGAAGCUCAACGAGGUGGUCGAACACGGUGCAUUCCAGCAGCCCAUGGAGCAGACGUUCAAC
Molecule: long non-coding RNA, 282 nt
Organism: Leptidea sinapis
Lineage: Eukaryota; Metazoa; Arthropoda; Insecta; Lepidoptera; Pieridae
Exons: 3
Source: RefSeq, a predicted model, not a curated record